RNAcentral lists this ribosomal RNA (210 nucleotides) under Salmonella enterica subsp. enterica serovar Muenchen. Its description in RNAcentral is "partial 16S ribosomal RNA". It matches the Rfam family "Bacterial small subunit ribosomal RNA", at positions 1 to 218 of the family's 1533-position model. Lineage: Bacteria; Pseudomonadati; Pseudomonadota; Gammaproteobacteria; Enterobacterales; Enterobacteriaceae. RNAcentral also lists the same sequence under 17 other names. The record is from RNAcentral.
AAAUUGAAGAGUUUGAUCAUGGCUCAGAUUGAACGCUGGCGGCAGGCCUAACACAUGCAAGUCGAACGGUAACAGGAAGCAGCUUGCUGCUUCGCUGACGAGUGGCGGACGGGUGAGUAAUGUCUGGGAAACUGCCUGAUGGAGGGGGAUAACUACUGGAAACGGUGGCUAAUACCGCAUAACGUCGCAAGACCAAAGAGGGGGACCUUC